GGAGGAGUGCUCCGAAUUGGUAAGGAACACGCUUGGAAAGCGUGCGCCCGCAAGGGCUUGUGGGUUCGAGUCCCACCUCCUCCG
This 84-nucleotide transfer RNA is filed under the name bacterium. RNAcentral describes it as "tRNA-Ser". It matches the Rfam family "tRNA". Rfam says of the family: Transfer RNA (tRNA) molecules are approximately 80 nucleotides in length. The record is from RNAcentral. RNAcentral also lists the same sequence under 2 other names.